GUGCCUACGUGGAAUCUCUAUUCUUUCUUAUCCCUAUUUUCAAUCACUCACACAGACUCACGGUUUCUCUGAGAAAGCAUGACCUGAGGCAAUAAAAAAAAUAACGUAAAAGCUCACGAUUCCGUCCGUUUCGUGUUCCACAGGUUCGUGGCUUGCGUUCCCACGAUUUCGUCCGUUUCUACUACUUCCCUACAUUUGAGUUGGAUUUUCUUGAAUUGAUAGGUUGGUUUCUCUCACCUCUCAAUGGAAAAUUUCAAGUAUGAAACACAACAGUAUCUCAGUCACCGUGUGAGUCUCGAUUUCUCUCACAUGAUCGAAUUAUCAUUUCUCCUUUCGUUUUUUUCUGUUAUGUAGUAGGAAACA
Molecule: long non-coding RNA, 363 nt
Organism: Tripterygium wilfordii
Lineage: Eukaryota; Viridiplantae; Streptophyta; Magnoliopsida; Celastrales; Celastraceae
Exons: 3
Source: RefSeq, a predicted model, not a curated record